GAUGAACGCUGGCGGCGUGCCUAAUACAUGCAAGUCGAGCGAACGGACGAGAAUCUUGCUUCUCUGAUGUUAGCGGCGGACGGGUGAGUAACACGUGGAUAACCUACCUAUAAGACUGGGAUAACUUCGGGAAACCGGAGCUAAUACCGGAUAAUAUUUUGAACCGCAUGGUUCAAAAGUGAAAGACGGUCUUGCUGUCACUUAUAGAUGGAUCCGCGCUGCAUUAGCUAGUUGGUAAGGUAACGGCUUACCAAGGCAACGAUGCAUAGCCGACCUGAGAGGGUGAUCGGCCACACUGGAACUGAGACACGGUCCAGACUCCUACGGGAGGCAGCAGUAGGGAAUCUUCCGCAAUGGGCGAAAGCCUGACGGAGCAACGCCGCGUGAGUGAUGAAGGUUUUCGGAUCGUAAAACUCUGUUAUUAGGGAAGAACAUAUGUGUAAGUAACUGUGCACAUCUUGACGGUACCUAAUCAGAAAGCCACGGCUAACUACGUG
RNAcentral lists this ribosomal RNA (497 nucleotides) under uncultured bacterium. RNAcentral describes it as "partial 16S ribosomal RNA". It matches the Rfam family "Bacterial small subunit ribosomal RNA", at positions 28 to 507 of the family's 1533-position model. The record is from RNAcentral.